UCUUCACCAUGGUGUUUUUGACAUAAGUAGCUAUGAAAUUCACCAUGGUGGGUAAA
This 56-nucleotide microRNA precursor is filed under the name Rattus norvegicus (Norway rat). Its description in RNAcentral is "Rno-Mir-506-P25_pre stem-loop". The record is from RNAcentral. Lineage: Eukaryota; Metazoa; Chordata; Mammalia; Rodentia; Muridae.